GCCCUCCCUCCCUCCUCCUGCUCUUCUCCCUGACAGAUGCCUCAGAGCCCCGGGCCGCAGUUAAGGUGACGAGAUGCAGCAAUUCUUUAUGAACAUUUCAUUCCUGCUCGCUACACGACGUAAAUUAGAUGGUGUGUUACAUUCGGGCAAUAAGAGAGAUAUGUCACCACGACGCUGGCCCAUUGGAUGGAGAGGGGGUUUGGCGAAGAGCUGA
This 214-nucleotide long non-coding RNA is filed under the name Ictidomys tridecemlineatus (thirteen-lined ground squirrel). Its description in RNAcentral is "lncRNA (ENSSTOG00000034001.1)". Lineage: Eukaryota; Metazoa; Chordata; Mammalia; Rodentia; Sciuridae. The record is from RNAcentral.